GAUGAACGCUGGCGGCGUGCCUAAUACAUGCAAGUCGAGCGAACGGACGAGAAGCUUGCUUCUCUGAUGUUAGCGGCGGAGGGGUGAGUAACACGUGAAUAACCUACCUAUAAGACUGGGAUAACUUCGGGAAACCGGAGCUAAUACCGGAUAAUAUUUUGAACCGAAGGGUUCAAAAGUGAAAGACGGUCUUGCUGUCACUUAUAGAUGGAUCCGCGCUGCAUUAGCUAGUUGGUAAGGUAACGGCUUACCAAGGCAACGAUGCAUAGCCGACCUGAGAGGGUGAUCGGCCACACUGGAACUGAGACACGGUCCAGACUCCUACGGGAGGCAGCAGUAGGGAAUCUUCCGCAAUGGGCGAAAGCCUGACGGAGCAACGCCGCGUGAGUGAUGAAGGUCUUCGGAUCGUAAAACUCUGUUAUUAGGGAAGAACAUAUGUGUAAGUAACUGUGCACAUCUUGACGGUACCUAAUCAGAAAGCCACGGCUAACUACGUG
RNAcentral lists this ribosomal RNA (497 nucleotides) under uncultured bacterium. RNAcentral describes it as "partial 16S ribosomal RNA". It matches the Rfam family "Bacterial small subunit ribosomal RNA", at positions 28 to 507 of the family's 1533-position model. The record is from RNAcentral.